GAGUUUCUUGGGAACUAUGACAUCAACUCUUUAUCUGGGCAUCUUAGAGUUGAUUGAGUUAGUGAUGCAACCGACCUUGAAGAAA
RNAcentral lists this non-coding RNA (85 nucleotides) under Desulfofarcimen acetoxidans. RNAcentral describes it as "Desulfotomaculum acetoxidans c-di-GMP-II sequence". It matches the Rfam family "Cyclic di-GMP-II riboswitch aptamer". Lineage: Bacteria; Bacillati; Bacillota; Clostridia; Eubacteriales; Peptococcaceae. The record is from RNAcentral. RNAcentral also lists the same sequence under 1 other name.